Molecule: ribosomal RNA, 461 nt
Filed under: uncultured bacterium
Lineage: Bacteria
Description: partial 16S ribosomal RNA
Rfam family: Bacterial small subunit ribosomal RNA
Source: RNAcentral
CCUACGGGAGGCAGCAGUGAGGAAUAUUGGUCAAUGGCCGGAAGGCUGAACCAGCCAAGUCGCGUGAGGGAAUAAGGCCCUAUGGGUCGUAAACCUCUUUUGUCAGGGAGCAAAGGCGUCCACGAGUGGACGAAAGGAGAGUACCUGAAGAAAAAGCAUCGGCUAACUCCGUGCCAGCAGCCGCGGUAAUACGGAGGGGGCAAGCGUUAUCCGGAUUUACUGGGUGUAAAGGGAGCGUAGACGGUUAUGUAAGUCUGGAGUGAAAGCCCGGGGCCCAACCCCGGGACUGCUUUGGAAACUGUGUAACUGGAGUACAGGAGGGGCAGGCGGAAUUCCUGGUGUAGCGGUGAAAUGCGUAGAUAUCAGGAGGAACACCGGCGGCGAAGGCGGCCUGCUGGACUGAAACUGACGUUGAGGCUCGAAAGCGUGGGGAGCAAACAGGAUUAGAUACCCUAGUAGUC